RNAcentral lists this ribosomal RNA (433 nucleotides) under uncultured bacterium. RNAcentral describes it as "partial 16S ribosomal RNA". It matches the Rfam family "Bacterial small subunit ribosomal RNA", at positions 29 to 507 of the family's 1533-position model. The record is from RNAcentral.
AACGAACGCUGGCGGCAUGCCUAACACAUGCAAGUCGAACGAGACCUUCGGGCCUAGUGGCGCAUGGGUGCGUAACGCGUGGGAACCUGCCCUUAGGUUCGGAAUAACUCCCCGAAAGGGGUGCUAAUACCGGCUCAUGUCCCCGGACCAAAGAUUUAUCGCCUUUGGAUGGGCCUGCGUUGGAUUAGCUAGUUGGUAGGGUAAAAGCCUACCAAGGCGACGAUCCAUAGCUGGUCUGAGAGGAUGAGCAGCGACACUGGGACUGAGACACGGCCCAGACUCCUACGGGAGGCAGCAGUGGGGAAUAUUGGACAGUGGGCGAAAGCCUGAUCCAGCAAGGCCGCGUGAGUGAUGAAGGCCUUAGGGUAGUGAAGCUCUUUUACCCGGGAUGAUAAUGACAGUACCGGGAGAAUAAGCUCCGGCUAACUUCGUG